CGGGGUGCAGCAGUGGGGAAUUUUGGACAAUGGGGGCAACCCUGAUCCAGCAAUGCCGCGUGAGUGAAGAAGGCCUUCGGGUUGUAAAGCUCUUUUGUCAGGGAAGAAACGGUUUCUCCUAAUAUGGGGAGCUAAUGACGGUACCUGAAGAAUAAGCACCGGCUAACUACGUGCCAGCAGCCGCGGUAAUACGUAGGGUGCAAGCGUUAAUCGGAAUUACUGGGCGUAAAGCGUGCGCAGGCGGUUAUGUAAGUCAGAUGUGAAAUCCCCGGGCUCAACCUGGGAAUGGCAUUUGAGACUGCAUGGCUAGAGUGUGUCAGAGGGGGGUAGAAUUCCACGUGUAGCAGUGAAAUGCGUAGAGAUGUGGAGGAAUACCGAUGGCGAAGGCAGCCCCCUGGGAUAACACUGACGCUCAUGCACGAAAGCGUGGGGAGCAAACAGGAUUAGAUACCCCUGU
This 457-nucleotide ribosomal RNA is filed under the name uncultured Oxalobacteraceae bacterium. RNAcentral describes it as "bacterial SSU rRNA". It matches the Rfam family "Bacterial small subunit ribosomal RNA", at positions 342 to 791 of the family's 1533-position model. The record is from RNAcentral. Lineage: Bacteria; Pseudomonadati; Pseudomonadota; Betaproteobacteria; Burkholderiales; Oxalobacteraceae.